RNAcentral lists this unclassified non-coding RNA (430 nucleotides) under soil metagenome. Its description in RNAcentral is "partial contains 5.8S ribosomal RNA, internal transcribed spacer 2, and large subunit ribosomal RNA". The stretch from base 1 to 120 matches the Rfam family "5.8S ribosomal RNA", at positions 35 to 154 of the family's 154-position model. The record is from RNAcentral.
GAUGAAGAACGUAGCGAAAUGCGAUACGUAAUGUGAAUUGCAGAAUUCAGUGAAUCAUCGAAUCUUUGAACGCAUAUUGCGCUCUCUGGUAUUCCGGAGAGCAUGCUUGUUUGAGUAUCAGUAAACACCUCAACUCCCUUUUCUUUUUUGAAAUUGGAGCUGGACUUGAGUGAUCCCAACGCUUUCUUCCAAGAAAGUGGCGGGUUGCUUGAAAUGCAGGUGCAGCUGAACUUUUCUCUGAGCUAUAAGCAUAUCUAUUUAGUCUGCCUAAAAAACAGAUUAUUACCUUUGCUGCAGCUAACAUAAAGGAGACUAGUUCUUGUGCUGACUGAUGCAGGAUUCACAGAGACAGCUUCGGCUGACUUUGUAAACUCGAUCUCAAAUCAGGUAAGACUACCCGCUGAACUUAAGCAUAUCAAUAAGCGGAGGA